CAAAAAGAGCGCGUAUUUUAUGUUUUGCUUUGCCUGACUGGUAAAAUGGCGGAUGUAAUGUCGUUAAAAAGGAUAAAAAGUGGGACUUUUCCUGAAAACAUGAAGUCAUAAUGAAUGGAUGAGCGAUCUUUUAUCUUUAUUGGGACUUCUAAAGAAUAAGGAGACCUCGACGCUGAAACCACGAAGAUUUAUGUCCAGGAGAGACAAUCGACUUCAUUACAGGUUGAGGAGUUGUAAUUCCUCCAUCAGACUGUCAUCAGAUCCUCUUUUCAAUUCGGAAUCUUUAGAGUCAUGUCUUCGGCCCGGAACCUUCUCUCAGACGGAUAUCGGAUCCAACAGGAGGAUCUGACCCACAUGAGUCACCAUCACAGAGAUCAUUCAGCAGACACACAUCCAAGCCUUUUAAUUGGCGUCAGAACCAAACAUUUGAACGGAGCGCAGCCAAAGUCGACUGCUGACAUUAGAAGAACCAGAGACUUUAGAAGGAUAACAUGAUCAGACUUUAGAAGGAUAACAUGAUCAAAAGAACAUUUCGUAAAGUCAUUAAAGUGUUAUUUAAGGCCAUGUGUAGACCGAGUUCCUGCACAAGAAUUUCUGGAUUCUCCAUUUGAUUUGAACUGAAUGGACGGACUGAUGAAGAGACAUGAAGGUUUCUCCUCUCUGCAGAAAAAUGUACACAGACAAAAUGACAUGUUAUUUUCUCUGACAUUCACCAGCUCUGCCCCCAACUGCAAACAUGACACAGUUUCCUAAGGGUUGGAGGGAAACUACGAGCCUACACCACGGCAACCAUGAAGAACUAGAAGACAACGAUGUGUCUGAUCUGGGCAGAAAGAAACUUACUGAUGGGGCCUGAACAGAGGAGAUCCAUGAAGGAUGACCUUCUGACACAUUCAGGAGCUUCUAACGGAUCCUGAAAAGUGAAGAAAGAGAUGUUUCUGUGCUGUAAAAUGUAUUGAACAGUUUGUGUUUAUGUUUUUAAGUCCUCCUUCAGGCUGCCGUUCCUCUGACCUCCAGGUUCACGGCCGCCGGAGCUUUUUGUGCGUCCUGUUUGGUCUCUGCGCCGCUGCUUUCAAACAAACAUUCCUGAACUUUUAUAAAACUCAAUCACUGAGGAUGAGAGAGCAGAGCGUCUUUGAAAACAACGACCUCACCGUCUCUCGUUCGGCACGAAUAGCAGUGAGAGUCUGAUUCGGGCGGAUGAUGAAGAACAUCCUUCUCUGAUGGGAUGGAGGAGAAAACACUCAUCAGAUUAACUGCACUGACAGAUCACAUCUAAUCUGAGCAUGAGUGGGCCAACAGGGA
This is a long non-coding RNA of Oryzias melastigma (Indian medaka), 1305 nucleotides long. RefSeq lists it as uncharacterized. The record is from RefSeq and is a predicted model, not a curated record. The transcript has 3 exons. NCBI's taxonomy places the organism in Eukaryota, Metazoa, Chordata, Actinopteri, Beloniformes, Adrianichthyidae.